UACGGGGGGGGCAAGCGUUGUUCGGAAUUACUGGGCGUAAAGGGCUCGUAGGCGGCCAAUUAAGUCAGACGUGAAAUCCCCAGGCUCAACCUGGGAACUGCGUCUGAUACUGGAUGGCUUGAAUCCGGGAGAGGGAUGCAGAAUUCCAGGUGUAGCGGUGAAAUGCGUAGAUAUCUGGAGGAAUACCGGUGGCGAAGGCGGCAUCCUGGACCGGCAUUGACGCUGAGGAGCGAAAGCCAGGGGAGCAAACGGG
RNAcentral lists this ribosomal RNA (253 nucleotides) under uncultured bacterium. Its description in RNAcentral is "partial 16S ribosomal RNA". It matches the Rfam family "Bacterial small subunit ribosomal RNA", at positions 524 to 776 of the family's 1533-position model. The record is from RNAcentral.